AUUGAACGCUGGCGGCAGGCCUAACACAUGCAAGUCGAGCGGAUGAAGGGAGCUUGCUCCUGGAUUCAGCGGCGGACGGGUGAGUAAUGCCUAGGAAUCUGCCUGGUAGUGGGGGAUAACGUCCGGAAACGGGCGCUAAUACCGCAUACGUCCUGAGGGAGAAAGUGGGGGAUCUUCGGACCCCACGCUAUCAGAUGAGCCUAGGUCGGAUUAGCUAGUUGGUGGGGUAAAGGCCUACCAAGGCGACGAUCCGUAACUGGUCUGAGAGGAUGAUCAGUCACACUGGAACUGAGACACGGUCCAGACUCCUACGGGAGGCAGCAGUGGGGAAUAUUGGGCAAUGGGCGAAAGCCUGAUCCAGCCAUGCCGCGUGUGUGAAGAAGGUCUUCGGAUUGUAAAGCACUUUAAGUUGGGAAGAAGGGCAGUAAGUUAAUACCUUGCUGUUUUGACGUUACCAACAGAAUAAGCACCGGCUAACUUCGUG
Molecule: ribosomal RNA, 484 nt
Filed under: uncultured bacterium
Lineage: Bacteria
Description: partial 16S ribosomal RNA
Rfam family: Bacterial small subunit ribosomal RNA
Source: RNAcentral